This is a long non-coding RNA of Helianthus annuus (common sunflower), 404 nucleotides long. RefSeq lists it as uncharacterized. The record is from RefSeq and is a predicted model, not a curated record. NCBI's taxonomy places the organism in Eukaryota, Viridiplantae, Streptophyta, Magnoliopsida, Asterales, Asteraceae. The transcript is spliced from 2 exons.
AUUGAGACGGUUACAUGUGAAAAAAGUUGAACAAACAUUCCAAAUCAUUUAAAAUCUUUUCUUAGUACAGGUGUUCAACUAUUAAUUAACUUGAUGAAGAGGAAGAAUUAACGAGUGACGGUGGUCGAUUCGAUUAGGGUUUCUCAAGCAAAUCUAAAAUGGUAGACCCUCUAGAAUCAAGAUAUUCUCAUGGUACGCCGACACAAAUGCUGAUCUCAGAUGAAAUCUCUAAGAUCUUUCUGAAAUUGACUGACAUAAUCUUGAAUUGGUACUUCAUUUGAUUGUCUCAUGAGUCAUGGUACUUGAGGGUUGCCACAAUGUGUGAAUUUUCCAAGCAGGAAUUUGUUGCUGGCUUGCAAUUGCAAUCUCUUUGGUACUUAUACUUUUGAAAACUCCUUUUAUUA